This 348-nucleotide ribosomal RNA is filed under the name Metabacillus litoralis. RNAcentral describes it as "bacterial SSU rRNA". It matches the Rfam family "Bacterial small subunit ribosomal RNA", at positions 1 to 337 of the family's 1533-position model. Lineage: Bacteria; Bacillati; Bacillota; Bacilli; Caryophanales; Bacillaceae. The record is from RNAcentral.
UUUAUUGGAGAGUUUGAUCCUGGCUCAGGACGAACGCUGGCGGCGUGCCUAAUACAUGCAAGUCGAGCGAAUCGAUGGGAGCUUGCUCCCUGAGAUUAGCGGCGGACGGGUGAGUAACACGUGGGUAACCUGCCUGUAAGAUUGGGAUAACUCCGGGAAACCGGAGCUAAUACCGGAUAACAUUUUGAACCGCAUGGUUCGAAAUUGAAAGAUGGCUUCUAGCUAUCACUUACAGAUGGACCCGCGGCGCAUUAGCUAGUUGGUGAGGUAACGGCUCACCAAGGCAACGAUGCGUAGCCGACCUGAGAGGGUGAUCGGCCACACUGGGACUGAGACACGGCCCAGACU